This 253-nucleotide ribosomal RNA is filed under the name uncultured bacterium. Its description in RNAcentral is "partial 16S ribosomal RNA". It matches the Rfam family "Bacterial small subunit ribosomal RNA", at positions 524 to 776 of the family's 1533-position model. The record is from RNAcentral.
UACGUAGGUGACCAGCGUUGUCCGGAUUUACUGGGCGUAAAGAGCGCGCAGGCGGUCGUUCAAGUCGAGUGUGAAAGCCCCCGGCUCAACUGGGGAGGGUCACUCGAUACUGAUCGACUCGAAGGCAGGAGAGGGAAGCGGAAUUCCCGGUGUAGUGGUGAAAUGCGUAGAUAUCAAGAGGAACACCUGAGGUGAAGACGGGUUGCUGGGCCAACACUGACGCUGAUGCGCGAAAGCCAGGGGAGCAAACGGG